RNA transcript from Erpetoichthys calabaricus (reedfish), 3284 nucleotides. It is a transcript of the gene named staufen double-stranded RNA binding protein 1, with no coding region annotated. The transcript is spliced from 18 exons. The record is from RefSeq and is a predicted model, not a curated record. NCBI's taxonomy places the organism in Eukaryota, Metazoa, Chordata, Cladistia, Polypteriformes, Polypteridae.
GUCAUUUCCUGUUAGAAACGGCUCAGCCUGGGCCAUUCUCUUUAGUGUUUGCCCUGUCUUCCUUUUACGAUUACAGCAAUAUUUAAAAGAAAAAGAACAGAAGACAAAAAGGAAACCCAAAUCGCCCAAAGCGAUUAACUGGUCGUGUGCAGCCUCACCCUGAUCACAUGGAAUAACGCAUUCAUAUCUAUUGGACUAAAGGAUAAGAAGAAAGAGCUUUGGUGAUUAACAAACUUUUGCUGCAGUUCUAUCAUCAAAAUUUUUGUUUUGGAAGCAAAGAUGUCCCAAAUUCAGGUCCAGAGUACAGCUCUUACUCUCUCCACAGGAAACCCUCUCCAAAAUAACUCACAACCAAUGAAGCCUCUUAUUCCUCAGCCUAUGAUGAGUAUUCCUUCUGCACCAGGGUGUCUGCCAUCUGAGAAUGCUGGACAUCCAGUUAAAAGCUCAUCCUUGCCAUCAUCUUCUGCUACCCCCAUUAGUGCAGCUGUAGUUCCCCACAUGGCAAACCCCAAAGAGAAAACCCCAAUGUGUCUUGUGAAUGAGUUAGCCAGGUUCAAUAAAGUCCAGCCUGUAUAUAAACUUUUAAGUGAACAAGGACCAGCUCACUCCAAGAUAUUUUCAGUACGAUUGGCUUUAGGAGAUCAGUGCUGGGAAGCUGAGGGAACCAGUAUAAAGAAGGCACAACAUGCAGCAGCUGCCAGUGCACUGGCUGAAACCACUUUGCCAAAGCCCAGUAUUCGUUCACCUCGCCACACAGGCAGGAAUUCAGUUUCACAUCUAACAAUGAUGACAUCACGAAAACAUCUUAUCUUUCAUGAAGAUCUGAGUCGGACUUUUCAACAUUCUGAAAACAGUUUAAACCAAACAGUGGAGUUAAAUGCACUCUGCAUGAAACUUGGGAAAAAACCUAUUUACAAACCCAUUGAUCCCUACCCAGGAAUGAGGCCUAAUUUUAACUAUAAUGUCAGGGCCCCAGGCCCUUAUCCAAGGUAUUAUUAUCCCUUUCCACCAGUUGGCCCAGUCCUCUACCAAAUGGAAUUAUCAAUUGGAGGACAGCAAUUUCAUGGCAAAGGAAGAACCAGACAAGCAGCAAAGCACGAUGCAGCUGCUAAAGCUUUAAAAUUUUUGCAGAAAGAACCUCUGUUAGAAAAAAAAUCAGAGAUCAAUGGUGGUGAAUCAGAUCAAAAUCUAAACAAAUCUGAAAUAAGCCAAGUAUUUGAAAUUGCACUGAAACGGAAUAUGCCUGUCAACUUUGAGGUUACUAAGGAGUCUGGCCCCCCACACAUGAAGAGUUUUGUUGUGCGAGUUUCUGUAGGAGACUUUUAUGGUGAUGGAGAGGGAAAAAGUAAAAAGAUUGCUAAGAAAAAUGCAGCGACUGCUGUCCUCAAGGAGCUUAAAAAACUACCUUCACUACCCUUGGUUGAAAAGGUCCAACCACGCAUUAAAAAGAAAUCAAAGUCAAUAGUCAAGCUUCAGACCAGCCCAGAAUAUGGUCAAGGAAUGAAUCCCAUCAGCCGACUAGCUCAAAUUCAGCAGGCAAAGAAAGAAAAGGAGCCGGAGUACACAUUAAUUACAGAGAGGGGUCUUCCUAGGCGCAGAGAGUUCAUUAUGCAGGUUAAAAUCAAUGAUCAGACUGCCGAAGGGGUGGGUCCUAACAAGAAGGUUGCUAAGCGUAAUGCAGCAGAGAAGAUGUUGGAACUAAUGGGCUUCAAAGUGCCUCCGCCACAUCCACCCAAACCUGCACUGAAAACUGAUGAGAAAGUGCCAAUGAAGAAGACAGGUGAUGCCAGGAAAGUUACGUUUUUUGAGCCUGGCUGUCCUGAAGAGGGAGCUUCAGUCUCUACAGGCCAUAAGGAUGAUGAGUUCAGAAUGCCAUAUUUGAGCCAUCAGCAGCUUCCAGCAGGAAUCCUGCCAAUGGUUCCAGAAGUGGCUCAGGCUGUGGGCGCCAAUCAAGGACAUCACACCAAAGACUUCAGUAGGCCCCCAAUUAACCCAGCCAAGGCCACAUUUACGGCAAUGAUCGCACGGGAACUGCUGUAUGGUGGCACAUCUCCAACAGCUGAGACUAUUUUGAAAAAUAACAACAGUCUUUCACACCUUCCUCUCGGACCACUUACACGUCCAUCGGAGCAACUUGAAUAUCUUUCCAGAGUACAAGGACUUGAGGUGGAAUAUAAAGAUUUCCCCAAGAACAACAAAAAUGAAUUUGUUUCUUUGAUAAACUGUUCUUCUCAGCCACCCCUCAUCAGUCAUGGAAUUGGUAAAGAUGUGGAAUCCUGCCAUGAUAUGGCUGCCCUUAAUAUAUUGAAAUUAUUGUCAGAUUUGGACCAACAAACAAAUGAUAAAACGGGAAAUGGACCAAUGUCAGUGAAAGCUGAUUAGUGCUUCUUGUCUAACCAGACAUCUUUGUCAAUAAGAUUCAUUGGAAAGCAUGCUGGGAGUCUCCACAUUAAAUGAUGUGAAAAACCAGAAGAAAACUGAAAAAUCUCUCCUAAAACCAGUUAACCCCCAAGGAGGAGAAAAGAGGGAAAAACUGAUGACUACCUUGUGGUGCGAAACAGAGCUGUGAAAAAGCAAAACAGAGAACAAUCAGAUGCGUACCUUUACAGUUUCAGUGCACUGCAGUGUCUAAAUUAAUAUCAUUGAUAACCCAUUGACAGUGUUUGCCGUUAAAUGGCUCUGAUUAAAGUGGGCUAUUCUGUUUAUUCAUGGUUGUUUGUUUCUUAGAAAUAAAUUAGUUGAUUUAAAGUUACCUAAAUCAUAUCCAGUUAUGUGGUUUUUAAUUUUUGAAAUAAAAAUCUAUACGUUAAAAGAAACUCUUUAUAAAUUAAUUUUGCUUCAGUGUUGCUACUGAUUUAAGUUGUCUGUAGAAAAGAUUUCUAUUUAUUUUCUUUGCCAAGUCCGUCAUUGGAGGUGUCAGUCUUUGAUGUAAAACUACAUUACUGGAUAUGAUGAAGCUAAAUAAAAAGUUUAAAAUGCAAAAUAAAUUUUAAUUGAGCGCUCUAACAGGAAACCAGAAACGUUACAUACAUCUCCAUGUAGGGCCUAAAGGGUUUUUGUGAUUUGUAAUGUUUGUAUUGUCAUAGUAAAAUGGGCACUAACAUUUCUAUUUCAUAUAGUCCAAGAAUGAAACCUUUUGCCAAGUUUUUGUAGUGCUUAAACUUGUCAUUGUUUACCAUACACGGUUUUUUUUUUCUCCCUAUGGAAUGUAAGUAAAACUUGUGCACAUUACAUUCAAAAAUAAACAAGUGUUGGUCCAUUUUUUUCUGCCAACCUCCCAAAUG